GGAAUUUCUCCAUUUUGGUAGGUACCUAAUUAUAUUUGUAAUCAUUUUGAUUGGAUGAGCAAAUUGGCAAAUGAAUGGUAUGGAAAUAAUGAUUUCUAUAUUCUGAGAUAUUUUUAUCUUUAACCCAAUACAGAUUUAUGCUAAUUGAUCAACUUGUAAUUUUGGAGUAAAUAUAGAUUUAUGCUAAUUGAUCACCUUGCACUUAACAUUGAAAUAUCUGCUAUCAGUAUCUAUAUCUUUAAAUAGCUUUUAUUCAUGGCUUUGAUUCUAAAGACUGAUUUGGCAGCAUAAUUUUGCUUUCUCAUUGA
RNAcentral lists this unclassified non-coding RNA (308 nucleotides) under Hevea brasiliensis (rubber tree). The record is from RNAcentral. Lineage: Eukaryota; Viridiplantae; Streptophyta; Magnoliopsida; Malpighiales; Euphorbiaceae.